This is a long non-coding RNA of Vespula vulgaris, 704 nucleotides long. RefSeq lists it as uncharacterized. The record is from RefSeq and is a predicted model, not a curated record. The transcript is spliced from 4 exons. Lineage: Eukaryota; Metazoa; Arthropoda; Insecta; Hymenoptera; Vespidae.
AUUUAAGGCGCCAUUUUUAAAAGUCCGUAUGUCAGUACACAAGCAGAAUCAAAAUGGCGAUUGGAUCUUUGAUGUCGUUUAUAUAAAUUUAUAAAACGUAUUGAAGAAAAUUUGAUCGUUAUGAAAAUGAAUUCGAAAUGAUGAGUUACGGACUUUGAAGGAGAAAAAGGGACGUAGCGGUAUGUGUUGGAACGGUAUGAGUGGAAUGGACUGGAAUGGGAUACGCUCAACGAUGCGAGAGAUGGAACAUUUCUACUUCUGAGAAGCCGCGUGUUAUGCGAUCGUUGCCCAUUCAAUGGCGUAGCCAUUGUAUGAUGCCGGGAAGAACUCCUACUCCGUCUCAGUUUGAAGAAACGAAAACUAACAGGAAAUAUAAUAUGUAAUAUCUCUUAUCGGAAUCGACGAUACAUAGAAGAUAUAGAUUAUUUGAAGAAAACAGUAACAUUUGCUUAUUCAAAUGCUCAACGAAAGAGCGCUUUACCUCUGAUUCCGUAUAUUAUCGGAGAAUGAAAAUAUUUUAUUAAAUGUCACCUUAUUUGUUUACUUCACUUACCUGUUCUUCAUGAUUGUAAAGAAAUAAUGACCAAGUAUCGUAAGAUUUUGAAAUCGAAAGUUCAUCGGUAUCCUCUCCCGGAAAGAUAAAUAAAUUAGGGAAGAAGCACACACGUUUAUCUUAUCAAAAUGAUGAAGUAUGAGAAUUGCGA